This 429-nucleotide ribosomal RNA is filed under the name Gemmatimonadota bacterium. RNAcentral describes it as "Gemmatimonadetes bacterium partial 16S ribosomal RNA". It matches the Rfam family "Bacterial small subunit ribosomal RNA", at positions 355 to 776 of the family's 1533-position model. Lineage: Bacteria; Pseudomonadati; Gemmatimonadota. The record is from RNAcentral.
UAGGGAAUCUUCGGCAAUGGACGAAAGUCUGACCGAGCAACGCUGCGUGAGUGAAGAAGGUUUUCGGAUCGUAAAACUCUGUUGUUAGAGAAGAACAAGGACGUUAGUAACUGAACGUCCCCUGACGGUAUCUAACCAGAAAGCCACGGCUAACUACGUGCCAGCAGCCGCGGUAAUACGUAGGUGGCAAGCGUUGUCCGGAUUUAUUGGGCGUAAAGCGAGCGCAGGCGGUUUCUUAAGUCUGAUGUGAAAGCCCCCGGCUCAACCGGGGAGGGUCAUUGGAAACUGGGAGACUUGAGUGCAGAAGAGGAGAGUGGAAUUCCAUGUGUAGCGGUGAAAUGCGUAGAUAUAUGGAGGAACACCAGUGGCGAAGGCGGCUCUCUGGUCUGUAACUGACGCUGAGGCUCGAAGGCGUGGGGAGCAAACAGG